GGCGGGCACCGCUAUCGGAAUGCGAUUAAGGCAUGCGAGUCGAGAGGUGCAAGACCUCGGCGGACGGCUGAGUAACACGCGGAUAACCUGCCCUGGAGUGGGGGAUAAUCUCGGGAAACUGAGAAUAAUACCCCAUAGGUGUGGUAUGCUGGAAUGCUUCCACGCUGAAAGCUCCGGCGCUCCAGGAUGGGUCUGCGGCCUAUCAGGCUGUAGUGGGUGUAACGGACCCACUAACCUACGACGGGUAGGGGCGUUGAGAGACGGAGCCCCCAGAUGGAUUCUGAGACACGAAUCCAGGCCCUACGGGGCGCAGCAGGCGCGAUG
This 324-nucleotide ribosomal RNA is filed under the name uncultured archaeon. RNAcentral describes it as "bacterial SSU rRNA". It matches the Rfam family "Archaeal small subunit ribosomal RNA", at positions 19 to 346 of the family's 1478-position model. The record is from RNAcentral.